This 404-nucleotide ribosomal RNA is filed under the name uncultured bacterium. RNAcentral describes it as "bacterial SSU rRNA". It matches the Rfam family "Bacterial small subunit ribosomal RNA", at positions 355 to 774 of the family's 1533-position model. The record is from RNAcentral.
UGGGGAAUAUUGCACAAUGGGGGAAACCCUGAUGCAGCAACGCCGCGUGAAGGAAGAAGGCCUUUGGGUCGUAAACUUCUGUUCUGAGGGAAGAAGAAAGUGACGGUACCUCAGGAGAAAGCCCCGGCUAACUACGUGCCAGCAGCCGCGGUAAUACGUAGGGGGCAAGCGUUGUCCGGAAUUAUUGGGCGUAAAGAGUACGUAGGCGGUUUGCUAAGCGCAAGGUGAAAGGCAGUGGCUUAACCAUUGUAAGCCUUGCGAACUGACAGACUUGAGUGCAGGAGAGGAAAGCGGAAUUCCUAGUGUAGCGGUGAAAUGCGUAGAUAUUAGGAGGAACACCGGUGGCGAAGGCGGCUUUCUGGACUGUAACUGACGCUGAGGUACGAAAGCGUGGGGAGCAAACA